UCCUGUGUGGCUCAGUCAUUAGAGCAUGGCUCUUGCAACACCAAGAGUCAUGGGUUCGAUUCCCACUGCGGGCA
RNAcentral lists this transfer RNA (74 nucleotides) under Salmo salar (Atlantic salmon). It matches the Rfam family "tRNA". Rfam says of the family: Transfer RNA (tRNA) molecules are approximately 80 nucleotides in length. The record is from Rfam by way of RNAcentral. Lineage: Eukaryota; Metazoa; Chordata; Actinopteri; Salmoniformes; Salmonidae.